This 107-nucleotide small nuclear RNA is filed under the name Dasypus novemcinctus (nine-banded armadillo). The record is from RNAcentral. Lineage: Eukaryota; Metazoa; Chordata; Mammalia; Cingulata; Dasypodidae.
GUGCUCACUUUGGCAGCACAUAUACUAAAAUUGGAAUGAUAGAGAGAAGAUUAACAUGGCCCCUGCACAAGGAUGACAUGCAAAUUCGUGAAGCGUUCCAUAUUUAA